UACGUAGGGGGCAAGCGUUAUCCGGAUUUACUGGGUGUAAAGGGAGUGCAGGUGGCACUGUAAGUCAGAAGUGAAAGCCCGGGGCUCAACCCCGGGACUGCUUUUGAAACUGCGGAGCUUGAGUGCAGGAGAGGUAAGCGGAAUUCCUAGUGUAGCGGUGAAAUGCGUAGAUAUUAGGAGGAACACCGGUGGCGAAGGCGGCUUACUGGACUGUAACUGACACUGAGGCUCGAAAGCGUGGGGAGCAAAC
RNAcentral lists this ribosomal RNA (250 nucleotides) under uncultured bacterium. Its description in RNAcentral is "partial 16S ribosomal RNA". It matches the Rfam family "Bacterial small subunit ribosomal RNA", at positions 524 to 773 of the family's 1533-position model. The record is from RNAcentral.